UGACAUCUCGACUAUAUGAAGAAUGA
RNAcentral lists this non-coding RNA (26 nucleotides) under Rattus norvegicus (Norway rat). Lineage: Eukaryota; Metazoa; Chordata; Mammalia; Rodentia; Muridae. The record is from RNAcentral.